CAGUCGCCGCGGUAAUGCGAAGGGUGCAAGCGUUACUCGGAAUCACUGGGCGUAAAGGGAGCGUAGGCGGCGUGGUAAGUCAGAUGUGAAAUCCCGGGGCUCAACCCCGGAACUGCAUCCGAUACUGCCAUGCUUGAGGGUUGGAGAGGUGACUGGAAUUCUCGGUGUAGCAGUGAAAUGCGUGGAUAUCGAGAGGAACACUCGUGGCGAAGGCGAGUCACUGGACAACAUCUGACGCUGAGGCUCGAAGGCUAGGGUAGCGAAAGGGAUUAGAUACCCCUGUAGUCCCUGUCUCUUAUAC
This 301-nucleotide ribosomal RNA is filed under the name uncultured bacterium. RNAcentral's name for it is "partial 16S ribosomal RNA". It matches the Rfam family "Bacterial small subunit ribosomal RNA", at positions 509 to 807 of the family's 1533-position model. The record is from RNAcentral.